UAUUUUGUUUGUUGUUUUGUAGGGCACACGGUGGAUGCCUUGGCAUAUCAAGCCGAUGAAGGACGUGAGAGGCUGCGUUAUGCCUCGGGGAGUUGCCAACUAAGCGUUGAUCCGAGGAUGUCCGAAUGGGGAAACCCAGCCGCAGUGAUGUGUGGUUACCUGCCAGUGAAUGUAUAGCUGGUGUGGAGGUUUACACGGGGAAGUGAAACAUCUCAGUACCCGUAGGAGAAGAAAACAAUUGUGAUUCCGUUAGUAGUGGCGAGCGAACGUGGAUGAUGGCUAAAACUUAUGUGUGUGAUACCCGGCAGGGGUUGCAUGUAGGUGGUUGUGGGGCAAUGACGUUCAUAUUCUGCCGGAUGUGGGCAUGUGCUGCGUGGUUAGUGGAAGUGGUGUGGAAACACCUGCCGUAGAAGGUGAGAGUCCUGUACACGAAGAUCAUGGUGGUGUGUGUGGUUGUUGAUACCCCGAGUAGCAGCGGGCUCGUGGAAUCUGCUGUGAAUUAGCCGGGACCACCCGGUAAGCCUGAAUACUUGAUAUGACCGAUAGCGGAUUAGUACCGUGAGGGAAUGGUGAAAAGUACCCCGGGAGGGGAGUGAAAUAGUACCUGAAACCGUGUGCUGUCAAUCCGUCAGAGCAUCCUUUGUGGUGUGAUGGCGUGCCUUUUGAAGAAUGAGCCUGCGAGUCAGCGGCAUGUCGCGAGGUUAACCCGUGUGGGGUAGCCGUAGGGAAACCGAAUCCUAACGAGGGUGUUUUAGUGGCAUGUCUUGGACCCGAAGCGGAGUGAUCUACCCAUGGCCAGUGUGAAGCAGCUGUAAGAGGUUGUGGAGGCGCGAACCCACUUAGGUUGAAAACUGAGGGGAUGAGUUGUGGGUAGGGGUGAAAGGCCAAUCAAACUCCGUGAUAGCUGGUUCUCCCCGAAAUGCAUUUAGGUGCAGCGUCGUGUGUUUCUUGCCGGAGGUAGAGCUACUGGAUGGUUUAGCGGGACCAACAUCUUAGCGACAUCAGCCAAACUCCGAAUGCCGGUAAGUGAGAGCACGGCAGUGAGACUGCGGGGGAUAAGCUUCGUAGUCGAGAGGGAAACAGCCCAGAUCGCCGGCUAAGGCCCCUAAGGGUGUGCUAAGUGGAAAAGGAGGUGGGGUCGCGAAGACAGCCAGGAGGUUGGCUUAGAAGCAGCCAUCCUUGAAAGAGUGCGUAAUAGCUCACUGGUCGAGUGAUUCCGCGCCGACAAUGUAGUGGGGCUUAAGUACACCGCCGAAGCCGCGGCAAUGAUCCUUUUGGAUUGUUGGGUAGGGGAGCGUCGUGCAUGCGUUGAAGCUUUGGGGUGACCUUGGGUGGAGUGUGUGCGAGUGAGAAUGCAGGCAUGAGUAACGAAUGAUGCGUGAGAAACGUAUCCGCCGGAUGACUAAGGGUUCCUGGGUCAAGUUAAUCUUCCCAGGGUGAGUCGGGGCCUAAGGCGAGGCCGACAGGCGUAGUCGAUGGAUAACGGGUUGAUAUUCCCGUACCCGAGUAUGAGCGACCAUGGUGAAUCAGUGAUACUAACCACCCAUAAGCACCCGCGAAAAGGCUUUGCUUUUUUGUGGUGUGUGGUUGCGUGGGACCUGAUCUGGUAGUAGCUAAGUGAUGGGGUGACGCAGGGAGGUAGCUCAGCCACUUAUUGGAUUGUGGUGUAAGCGUGUGGCACGCAGUGUUGGUAAAUCCGCACUGUUUUUGUGUGAGGCGUGAUGCGGAGCCCGUUAAGGGUGAAGUGGGUGAUCCUGUGCUGUCGAGAAAAGCCUCUAGCGAUGUUGAUAUUCGGCCCGUACCCUAAACCGACACAGGUAGUCAGGUAGAGAAUACUAAGGCGUUCGGGUGAACUGUGGUUAAGGAACUCGGCAAAAUGCCCCCGUAACUUCGGGAGAAGGGGGGCCACGGCGUGUGAACAACUUUUCGUUGGGAGCGUGUUGUGGUCGCAGAGAAUAGAGGGAAGCGACUGUUUACUAAAAACACAGGUCCGUGCGAAGACGUUUAAGUUGAUGUAUACGGACUGACGCCUGCCCGGUGCUGGAAGGUUAAGAGGACCGGUUAG
RNAcentral lists this ribosomal RNA (2065 nucleotides) under Corynebacterium glutamicum. Its description in RNAcentral is "LSU rRNA". It matches the Rfam family "Bacterial large subunit ribosomal RNA", at positions 1 to 1893 of the family's 2925-position model. The record is from RNAcentral. Lineage: Bacteria; Bacillati; Actinomycetota; Actinomycetes; Mycobacteriales; Corynebacteriaceae.